This 468-nucleotide ribosomal RNA is filed under the name uncultured bacterium. RNAcentral describes it as "partial 16S ribosomal RNA". It matches the Rfam family "Bacterial small subunit ribosomal RNA", at positions 28 to 507 of the family's 1533-position model. The record is from RNAcentral.
GACGAACGCUGGCGGCGUGCUUAACACAUGCAAGUCGAACGGAAAGGCCCUGCUUUUGUGGGGUGCUCGAGUGGCGAACGGGUGAGUAACACGUGAGUAACCUGCCCUUGACUUUGGGAUAACUUCAGGAAACUGGGGCUAAUACCGGAUAGGAGCUCCUGCUGCAUGGUGGGGGUUGGAAAGUUUCGGCGGUUGGGGAUGGACUCGCGGCUUAUCAGCUUGUUGGUGGGGUAGUGGCUUACCCAGGCUUUGACGGGUAGCCGGCCUGAGAGGGUGACCGGCGACAUUGGGACUGAGGUACGGCCCAGACUCCUACGGGAGGCAGCAGUGGGGAAUAUUGCACAGUGGGCGGAAGCCUGAUGCAGCAACGCCGCGUGCGGGAUGACGGCCUUCGGGUUGUAAACCGCUUUCGCCUGUGACGAAGCGUGAGUGACGGUAAUGGGUAAAGAAGCACCGGCUAACUACGUG